Molecule: long non-coding RNA, 5346 nt
Organism: Bombus pascuorum
Lineage: Eukaryota; Metazoa; Arthropoda; Insecta; Hymenoptera; Apidae
Exons: 2
Source: RefSeq, a predicted model, not a curated record
CAAAUUUUUACUGCGUAUCAUUUGAUACGACGAUAUCAGUUAUCAGAAAAAUUCCCGAUCGAUCGCUGAAUCGCUAACACUGGAUGCUAACACUAGAAAUACUACACCAGCCAAAAUGACUGGUUCUACAAUUUUCUAAAUUUGUCAACCCUCGUUUAGGAAUGAUGAACUAUAUAAUGAAUUUUAUUUUGCUUUUUAUGUAUUCAAACUGAAAAUAAUUUUGUAUCAAGGCUAUUUAUACCAAAACCAGUCAAAAUGAAUGGUUCUACAAUUUUAUAAAUUUGUCAACUCUCGUUUAGGGGUAAUGGUUCCAGAUGGAUUAAUAAUACCAAAAAUGUACUAUGUAACAUGGAAUUUCUUCUGUAAGAAAAUAUUAAAUCAAUAAAUAUAGUCUUAUAGUGUUAACACUAGAACUACCGAUAGUUAACACGAAGCCAUUUCUACCAAAACUAGUGAAAAUGACUGAUCUUUAAAAAAUACGUAAUAAUAGAAUAUUUUUAUAUUUAUUGAUUUAUUACUUUCUUACAGAAGCAAUUCCAUGUUAUGUAGUACAUUUUUGGUGUUAUUAAUCCAUCUGGCACCAUGAUCCCUAAACAAGGGUUAACACAUUCAUAAAAUUGUAGAACCAGUCAUUUUGACUACUGUGGUAUUUAUAGUGUUAGCAUCCAGCGAUCCAGCGGUCGAUCCGGAAUUUGCCUGAUAACUGUAAAAAUUUGAAAAAUACGUGGCAAAUUGUAUAAAACGAGGAAACUGGUUAAUUGGGGUUCGAUAAACAGAUUGCAGUACCCUUUUACACUUUGACAAUUAUCAGCCAUUUUGACUGGUAUUGUUAUAAGUAGCCUUGAUACAAAAUUAUUUUCAGUUUGAAUACAUAAAAAACAAAAUAAAAUUCAUUAUAUUAUUCUUUUAGUUAUCGUUGCGAAAGUCAUUACAAAUAAGUGUUUGUGAAAAAAAUAUAACAUGAAGUAGAAGUUUUAAAAUAAGAUUGUAAAACCAGUCAAUUUGACUAGUGUGGUAGUUCUAGUGUUAAUACAACUAUCAGAGGUGUCGUUGGUGUUCAACAGGGACGUAUAAAACAAAGGAGAAAUAUUCUGAAAUAUUGCGUUCUCGGAGGAGCACUGCAUCGAGUUUUAAUAGCUACAGAAUGUUCCAGCGACCUAUACAGUCGUUUACAGUUUUAAAAACCAAAGGUUUCUAAAAAAGCAGUUUCCACGUAAACAGUGCGAGAUAUGUGAAAAAGCGGAUCGCAGUUGUGACAAAGAUUUUGCCAUGGAUUUGCCAAUUUCACAGUAACAAAAAGAUCUACUUUGUAUUGUUUCCAAUAGAAUGUAAAUGUGACAUUUAGAAAUAUUUAGAUUGAUCGGAAAUUAUUUUUACCCGAUUUAUACGCGCACGGACACUGGCAGAUUAACAGGCCAUAUCAGUUGCGUUGCGAAUACGCCUUGUUCUCCGUAUCGAUCCUUUGUUUCAUUUCUUUCAUUUCAUGCACGAGCUUCCACUAUCAUUUCCAUGCGACGCGUACGACGUUUCGCCUUUCGUUUCGUAGCAUCGGAGAAAGCGAUGCAACCUGAUUGAACAAAGUCUAAUCUCUUGAGACGAGCUGCUCUUCCUUUCUCACGAUAAACUAACGCAUCUGGUAUUAUUCGAAUGGAAGAAAUAUCGCAAAAACACGGAAAUACGAGCCACGUACAAAUACAAAUAAAUAGAAACGAGGAGCUUGAACGAAGGUGAGGUGAUUAAGAAACGCAUGGCAGGUAAGAAAUCACGGCGGAAAAGAGACACGUCGAGUAAGAUUGAAAGUAGCGUGGUAAAUCGAGCAUUGACCCUUUUUGGGAUUCUUCCGCUCACCGAGAAAAGUGGAUGGACGAGCGUAAAGUGUACGGACUUGCUCGUGCUCAGCUCGGAAGACCAACGUGUACGCGUGUACACACGUACGCGCGGUACGUGUGCGUGCACAUGAUUCCAAGGUACGGCACCGCGUUACGUUCGGCGUUUCCCAACUCUGUUGACCCGAGCCUGGUUUGUGGCACACCAACAGGAUACGUCUUCAUGAAUCUGCCAGUGUUCCGCUCUUUUUUUAAACCAUACAUCGGUCUGACGACUUUAUAUAAAACUACCACAUCGUGUACAGGUAAUUUUUAGCUUACUAAAUUUAGUAUAAAGGUAAGGAUAUUUUAACUCUUGAUACGUAGGCGUAAGAAAAAAAGAGCCAUCUAGAAACCGUGAACCGCGUGAUAAAUUCGUAGAGAUUGUUCGAAAACGUUCUACGUCGCCAAAAUGUCCGUCUAUGUACGUUAACGAUAACACGACUCGAGCAACUUCAAUCGAGAAAGAUAAUUCGUUACGAACCGAGAGGCCGAGUGAGAUGAUUUUUCGAAUAAAUAGCGGCGAUUCGUGGAACUAACAGUGGACAUAGCCGAUCUGCUAUGCGCUGUUUUGGUCGAUGCCUUUGUUACGUAAGGAGUUUUAGUAGACGCGAAGUGUAGCAGGUGCGUACGCGCGAUGCUUCCCCGAGCUCUGUCUACCCGCGUAUGAACGAUUCUAGCAAACGAGGAACAUUUAGUGUAAGACAAACUUACGCGAGUCAGCGAUCUCUUUGAUUCGUCCUUCGAUUUUCCACGUGGGUUGCUCUAUCGAGGAACGUAGAGCGAGCGCCCUUCUCUGAAAACAAACGCGUUGUUAAGCUUCGUAGUUUCGCAUAAGUCGUAGUGAAAACACCGUAAAUACGUUAGAGCAAUGGUAAGCUAAAUACGUAAUAUUCUCGCACAGACAGAAAAUUGUAUAUCAGCUUGCACGUGGCCUAAUUGGAACUCGCUGGACAAUAGCAGCGAACAGAAUGAGGUAAGGAGAAUACGACUGAAAACUAAUUUCGCAAAAUGAAAACAGAUACUGUUACCGUUGACUAAACAUCACUGCCCUAUGUUGCUCAAUAACCUUGUUUCUCCCUCAAUGCUCUAGAUUGGUAAAUUUUCAUAUGCAAAGUGCAACGUUUCUUUUCAAUAACACUGAAUCCUAUUUUUUUAUCAUUUUAGCUUUUCGAAAAAUUUACAGAAAUUCCUAUUACAUCGUACGGUCCGUUCGUUCGAAUAUCUUCCCCGAAAAAGAAAAAAAAAAAAAAAAGAAAAAUUGGAAGGUAAGGCUAUAGUAAAACUCAAGGAUGGAAUUUCGCUUACAUCAUCGAGUUAGUUUACCUGCAGAGGUUCGAGCGUAUUAAUUUUCCUAUAUCGACGUUUACGAUCAAGGGUGAAUCGAUGUACGAAGAACGACGAGCAACGCCAAUUAGAGAAAGCUAGGCUGAAUUUGAACGGAGAAGGAAAGUGGGAACGAGGACAAGGUAGGAAAAGAGAAGAAGUGGAAGAGGAAAUGGAAGAGGAAGAGGAAGAGGUACGGUUGCAGGAGGUGAACAUGGAGCGAGAGAGAGAGAGAGAGAGAGAGAGAGAGAGAGAGAGAGAGAGAAAGCCGGAUAGGUGGGAAUUCUGGCUGGUGGUUGGGUUGGUAAGGGAGGGCCUGUGGUGCUAGAGCAUUUGGUAUCCGUGGUUCAGAACGGUAGCGGCUAGGCAAAAGGGGGCUAGAGGAGAGCAGGGUCGAUGACCCUUGCACGUGGAGUGUUCGGAAGUAGGCCACGCCGUGACAUCACGCAAAAGCAAGAUGGCAGUCGGGAAACGGGCACAUUCUCACAAGUAUGCUCGGCAUACGACUCGACGGAGACGUGCCGACGCCUGUGCAAUCGAAUCUUUUCCUUGGGCGAGGGUGCGUUCCGAUAUUCAACGCCAUCUCUCAUCACGACCUCUUCCUUCUUCUCUCUCCAUCUUCCUCCUAUCGGUCUUCUGCUCUUGUCGCGUUUCAAGCAUCGCGGUUCGAUGCGUGCCAAUGUUUGCGGUGACUAUCGGAAAUCAGAACGCGUAAUUUUCAUGCAGCUGCCGGUCGAGUUGCAUCAGCAUCUCCCAACUCGCGUGCAUCAAACGUGUCACGAUAGCUGGAAAUUUUCCGAUUGUUUCCAACCAAAUCCGCUACAUCUUCUAAUAAACGUUCGCUCGAACAGCAAUACGUCACGUUUCACGAGUUCGCUCCGCUAAAUUUUACAUCGUGCUUUAUUAAGGUCUCGUGAUAACGUCUCGUGAUAAUCGAUGAGAAUGUCGCGUCUCGUUCAACGGCCAAACGCCACAAAAAAAGAAAUAAAAUAAAAAGAAUAAAAGAACCGUACAAGUUAUCAGGAGGAAAAAAGACGAGCGCAAUUACUCGGUUGGUAUCGUCGCGUUCGAGUGAAAUAAUCAGUGUCGACGGGAAUUGUCGUACGAUUAUGCGUUAUACAAUCGCGAGACAAACAAAAACUUUAUUACCAGCGAAUAAUCCCGAGCGUGAUCGUUGCAAGCGAUUAGACAGAUCGUACGACGUUAGAACGAAACGGACAGCGAAUCGUGAAAAUCGCGGGUCGCACGGAAUCACGACCUCGAAGGCAUAGCGCGCGCGCCAUCCGUGUCCGUAUGCAUUGCGUGGAGUCGCGUUGCGUAUUCGUCGUGCGUGUGCACGGAUGCAGCCGCGGAUAGCGUUCUUUAUUCCGAACGUGCGAGCGCGAGAACGUGAGCAGGUAUAUGGCACCGUUGAAUAUUGGACGAAAGUCAAAUUCAUCUUACAUUAUUUUAGCGUUCGCGGCGAGCCGAUGUAUUACAGAAAUACGAGCUCGUCUGUAGCGUGCGUGCGAGCGUCUAUGAUUUCUGUUUGUAUUUUAAUUGCGAUGAUGUAAGCUCAUGCGGAUGCACACACCAAGUUUUCCUUGCUCCACCUACCGCUUCGUCUCUUUCGGUUUCGGAAUUUUUGAUAUGUAUAUACUUAAAGUCAAGUUUCGACCAGGCGUAUAAACGUACGAAGAAUCGUAUUUAUGUAAGUACAAGUACGUAACGCGUAUAUCGUCGUUAUCAGGUAUGCGUGGUAUGAUAGGGAAUUUUAUAGGGAAUUAUAAAAUACAACGCGAAGACGAAAAGUGUUUCUUUCCUGCAAAAUCUAUUGCGUUUGUAACAACGAAAAUUCUUUAGACGGUAGAGCCUGGCAAUUGUUCCACGGAAAGUACAAAGUCUAGUACGAGUUGGUAUACUACAGGCAUAGAAGUGUACCUACUUGCGAUGCAAUUACGGUGAUGUAACGCGCAUAUCUUAUCGGAAAAUUUUAUUUCUAUUUCCAUUUCUAUCUGUUCAUAAAAUAAACGAUUAUUUCAGAGUUUGUGCUUUGUUUCACACUUCCACUUUAGACGUUAAAUAACUGUAUGCGAAUGUAAUUAAGUUAUUUAUAAACGUAUUGAACAACAUUUAAAAAGAAGUUACGUAAAUAAAUCGUUUUCUAUGAAACGUA